Molecule: ribosomal RNA, 185 nt
Filed under: uncultured bacterium
Lineage: Bacteria
Description: partial 16S ribosomal RNA
Rfam family: Bacterial small subunit ribosomal RNA
Source: RNAcentral
CUACAUGAAGCUGGAAUCGCUAGUAAUCGCGGAUCAGAAUGCCGCGGUGAAUACGUUCCCGGGUCUUGCACACACCGCCCGUCACACCAUGGGAGUCGGAAAUGCCCGAAGUCUGUGACCCAACCUACGGGAGGGAGCAGCCGAAGGCAGGUCGGAUGACUGGGGUGAAGUCGUAACAAGGUACC